AGAAGCAUGGUAUAUAAGAUUCAGGUUCCAAUACAAGUUUCAACCGUAUAGAAACGAAACAACCCAAAACCACAACGUGAGUGAGAAGAUUUUCUGAUGAUCCAAAAGGGAAAAAAACAAAAGAAAAAUGAGCCACAAUAAAAGAUCAUAGAUCAUUACAGAACUAAAGGAAAUGAUAUCUCAAACCCUUAACAUAUAUAAUGCAGCAAACCCCCAAAAGGGUCGAGUGCAGAUAAGAUACUUUCAUGGAAGGGUUAAGAUUCAGAAUCCGCUUCAAGAGUCAGGUUCAGGCUUGUAAUGUUAAGGGGCGUGCCUA
RNAcentral lists this unclassified non-coding RNA (316 nucleotides) under Hevea brasiliensis (rubber tree). The record is from RNAcentral. Lineage: Eukaryota; Viridiplantae; Streptophyta; Magnoliopsida; Malpighiales; Euphorbiaceae.